UUAAUGGACAAUGUUAAUUGCUAGAUAUCGUAUUCUUAUUACAAAUUGAUGGAACUCAUCUAUGUUUGCAUACUUUUGUUUGCAAAAAUUUUAUUAUCAUUUAGGAUUAAAUGCAGGACCUCUUGCGAGAAGAAAAGGGUGACAACCAGGUCUCAAGUGAGAUAAGUUUUGGCUAAAUGAUCUCUGUCGAUCUUAGGAUUUGAAGGCAGC
RNAcentral lists this long non-coding RNA (210 nucleotides) under Elaeis guineensis (African oil palm). RNAcentral's name for it is "long non-coding RNA (EGUI_LNC030953)". Lineage: Eukaryota; Viridiplantae; Streptophyta; Magnoliopsida; Arecales; Arecaceae. The record is from RNAcentral.